Long non-coding RNA from Carassius carassius (crucian carp), 328 nucleotides. RefSeq lists it as uncharacterized. The transcript is spliced from 3 exons. The record is from RefSeq and is a predicted model, not a curated record. Lineage: Eukaryota; Metazoa; Chordata; Actinopteri; Cypriniformes; Cyprinidae.
AGACUUUAAAAAAGGCUGAGGCUGAGUCUCAGAGACUUGAGGAUUUGAGAAGUGAACUAGGGUGUCCUCAGAACACUGUGCUUCAGUGGGUACAUGAUGUCAGACAGUGGGCUACUGAGGAUUCGGUAGGUACCAGAUGUGAUGAACAACAUAACCUUCAGAAAUCAAUUGAACAAAUGUUUCUUGGUGUUCAUCAAAAAAAGCCAGCCUUUAUAAUCAGACUGACAGCAACAAAAUUCGACAUUUGCAUUGAAGGAAAAUGUGGGAAGAGAAGAGAAAACUUUUGCAAGCAAUCAAGCUCUACAAUGAGCAGGUGCCAGAUGAGGAG